Molecule: long non-coding RNA, 216 nt
Filed under: Vigna radiata
Lineage: Eukaryota; Viridiplantae; Streptophyta; Magnoliopsida; Fabales; Fabaceae
Description: long non-coding RNA (VRAD_LNC015975)
Source: RNAcentral
GGGGAGAUGAUUUGAAUGGAUUUGAGGGUAAUUUUUUUGUUGUUUUUUUGAGUGGAUUUGUGGGUAAUUGAGAGUGAAUUUGGAAAUAAAGUUUGUGAGAAUUAGUGUAGGAUUUGAUUGAUGUGACCGAUUUAAAAAAUUAGUUUAAUUGGUAGAAAUUAAAGAUUAAAAUAUCCCUAGUUAUUAAAGUAAUAUAAAAUAUUAUUUAUUAAUGUU